GAGAGGGUUUGACUAGGCUGCUAACCCGGUAUCCCAAAAUUAGCCUUUUGGCCCCCUCCA
Molecule: transfer RNA, 60 nt
Filed under: Hemidactylus alkiyumii
Lineage: Eukaryota; Metazoa; Chordata; Lepidosauria; Squamata; Gekkonidae
Description: tRNA-Ser
Source: RNAcentral